AUAGUAAAUUAAACUUGCUAACAUACCAAAUAGCAAUGGCCUAUGUCAAAAGACAAAAAAUUAUGGUCCGGACAAAAAAAUUGCUCCAUAACUUCUAUUAUUUGAUCUUUACAUAAAACGUCAAGGUCAAAAGACAAAAAAGUUAUGGUCCAGACAAAAAAAGCCCCAAAAUUCCUAUUAAUAAAUUGACCUUUACAUAAAAGGUCAAGGGUAAUCAAAAAUGGUAUGCAACACAUUGUCUUAUCAUAGUAUACCCACAUACCAAAUGUCAAAGGCCAAUGUCAAAAGACAAAAGUUAUGGUCCGAGCAAACUUUGUAUGAGAAGCAGAAGAAGAAUUAACACUAAAAAUAUGUCCCCCCUUCUGGGAGGGGAGACAAUUAUAUCUAACAGAAUUUUCAUUGUAAUUAUCAAUAAAAAAAAACACCCCAGACCAGUUUUCAACUGCAUUGAUAAUUACUGGUAUUUGAGAAAAAUCCAUUGUAUAGUACAAUAGUUAAAUAAUCUAAUUAGGCUAAAUCAUGCUAAAUGCUGUCAAGAACAGAAAGCAUACCACAUUGAAUUAAAUAUGGUGGGAUAGAACAUUGGGAUAAAGUAUGUGACUGGACUUCAAAACCGGAAGGGGAUUUUUCUGUUUGUUUAUCAUAUGACAGUCACAAAAUAGUAAUUUCUUUUUACUAUCCUGCUAGUUUGCCUAUGUAUGAUUAUAUAUUUUGUACACAAUUUCAAGGCUAUCCGAUAAAGCCAUAUAGUAAAAGUGUUCACAAGUUAUUUUACAUCCUCCACCCCUCUUAGAUCCACUAUAAUUUUUAGGAAAAUAAUUGGAUCCUCACAUCUCAACAAUAUGCACAUCUACAAAUGGCAAUGAAGCAAUCUACUAAGUUUCAAGUCUAUUUGAUAAGCCCUAUAGGAGGAGAAGCAUUCACAAGAUUUUGUGACAGAUGGACAGGACUGACAGAUGGACAGCAUGCAAGUACAAAAACAAUAUACCUCCCUCUUGAAGAGGGGAGACAUAAAUAUGGUUUAGGUUACUUUCAAGCAAUUGUAAGAACUAAUUCUUUGGAGUGACAUUAAUAUACAUGGUUAUAUUUUUCAAUAGAUUCUUUUAAAAAAUUUGAUUCAAAACAUAUCAAUAAACACAUCUUUUGUCAUUUUAAAUUAAGACAACAUAAUUCAUGAUGUUCUACAAUACUGUCCAGUUUUGGAGGUUUGGUUGAUUGAUUAAUUGAAUAUUGUUUAAAGUCCCUCUCGAGAAUAUUUCAGUCAUAUGGAGAAUUCACCACUGCCGGUGAAGGGCUGCAAAAUUUCGGCCUAUGCUCAGCGCUUAUGGCCUUUGAGCAAGGAGGGAUCUUUUUCGUGACACACCUGCUGUGACACGGGGCCUUGGUUUUUGUGGUCUCAUCCGAAGGACCGCUUAAUUCGCCUUCUACAACAAGCAAGGGGUACUGAGGACCUAUUCUAACCCGGAUCCCCAUGAGAAUGGAGGUUUGAAAAAACUAAAUGCGGCAGAGCAACACGAAUGUCCCCCACCUAAAGGCCUAGCUGCCAAAAGUUAUCCAACUGAACCCAUACAAUUGAAUAUGUGCAUCUGAAGCAAAAAUGAUGUAAGGAAACUAAAUUAUGACAGGAGGAUAGAAGAGGAAUGCUGUUAUUCACCUCCCCUUCCCAACUGCACUACAUUACUGUGGUGUUCUGGACAAGGAUCGAGUCACAAAACGGACGGAACCCUGCCCUGACCUUUUACUCGAUCCUGCAGCCAAACAAUUCAUAGUAUGUUUCAGACAUGCAGAGGUCAUAAGCAUAUCCCUCUAAUGACAUUUGACAAUGGAAACUUUCUAUCCCUACAUUUCUAUCACUUAGAGGAUUUGUGGGAAGUAAAUGUCUUUGGGGACAACAGCCUCUUCCAAGGAUUAUUUACUCAUCAGGAAAUGCUGCCACUUUGAUGUUCAUCAGCACACAGUUUCCUCUCAGUGCAGGCCCCAUUUAGCACAUCAGCAGAGCUUCAUCAGCACUGUGGUAGAGGACUGGGUAAACACGGAGACAUCUCCUAUGCCUGGCAGCCCCAGUCUUGCAGCACUCUCAGUUUAUCAAUAAAUUGUAAGCAAUGUU
Molecule: long non-coding RNA, 2107 nt
Organism: Ostrea edulis (European flat oyster)
Lineage: Eukaryota; Metazoa; Mollusca; Bivalvia; Ostreida; Ostreidae
Exons: 4
Source: RefSeq, a predicted model, not a curated record